Molecule: long non-coding RNA, 555 nt
Filed under: Rattus norvegicus (Norway rat)
Lineage: Eukaryota; Metazoa; Chordata; Mammalia; Rodentia; Muridae
Description: long non-coding RNA NONRATT025133
Source: RNAcentral
UAGCGUUCUUUGAUGUUUACCGGGCUAACAGGCUAACAGCUUCAUUCUGGCAGAUACACCCCAUCCCCUCUCUGUUCAAAUACCUGAUAUUUUCUGCCAUUUGACUGGGUCUGACUAAGAGGUUUCUUUUUCUUUUUUUUUUUUUAAUCUUUAUUAAAUUGGGUAUUUCUUAUUUACAUUUCAAAUGUUAUUCCUUUUCCCGGUUUCCUGUGCAUCAGCCCCCUAACCCCUCCCCCUCCCCUUCUAUUAUGGGUGUUCCCCCCCCCUAUCCUCCCCCCAUUAUCUCCCUCCCCCCAAGAAUCCCAUUCACUGGGGGUCCAGCCUUGGCAGGACCCAGGGCUUCCCCUUCCACUGGUGCCCUUACUAGGCUAUUCAUUGCUACCUAUGAGGUUGGAGCCCAGGGUCAGUCCAGUUUCUUAAUGAAAACUGAAGAACUGGAAUGCAUCGGGGAACUACUUGGGAUUAAAGUGAGAAAUUAGUGAUGCUUCUGGGGGUGGGGAGGAAAUGGGCAUGGCCUGCCUCUCUGCCUUCCCUCCUUUCUUUUGCUUUUCUGUG